GACCACCUUUGUGGCGUGGCCACUGUAAACCGCAAAGUGCAGAUCAAGAAGGACCAGAGUUUUAGAUCCCCAAAUUAAGCAAAGGAAUGGAAUCCCCCCGGCCACAACCUCCGCCUGGCUUCGUCGCCGGGCCACAGCCUGCAGCGAAGUCCAAAGGCACCCAGGAGGACUCCUGCUGGAGUCCCCUCGUCCAAGUUCACUGGCAGUUGGUUGCAUCCAAAAGUUUCUCACGGGCUUAAAAAGGGAAAAUGGACAACCGUUACACAGAAGAGCCCACAAAAGCUGCAGCAACACACGAGGGGUAAAGGAGCAGCCAGAGACACAGGUUUGGAAAUCCAGUACAACGGCUCAGCCUGGAAAGCAGAAUAACAUUUAGGUAAAACAACUUACAAAACAUAAGCAGGAAAAAAAAAAAUAUCUGUGU
Molecule: long non-coding RNA, 424 nt
Organism: Eptesicus fuscus (big brown bat)
Lineage: Eukaryota; Metazoa; Chordata; Mammalia; Chiroptera; Vespertilionidae
Exons: 3
Source: RefSeq, a predicted model, not a curated record